RNAcentral lists this transfer RNA (62 nucleotides) under Gomphiocephalus hodgsoni. RNAcentral's name for it is "tRNA-Arg". The record is from RNAcentral. Lineage: Eukaryota; Metazoa; Arthropoda; Collembola; Poduromorpha; Hypogastruridae.
AAAUAAGAAGCGAUACUUGCACUCAAUUUCGGCUUGAAUUUAGUUUUUAGAAACCUUAUUUU